This is a long non-coding RNA of Daphnia pulicaria, 253 nucleotides long. RefSeq lists it as uncharacterized. Lineage: Eukaryota; Metazoa; Arthropoda; Branchiopoda; Diplostraca; Daphniidae. The record is from RefSeq and is a predicted model, not a curated record. The transcript has 3 exons.
CGAAAAUGUACUAGUCGUCGUCUCUCGUAGCUCUUGCUGGUGUUCAGUGUUCACCACAGAUUUUAGUUCUGAGCCAGCCAUCUCUAUCAACAUCAAGUUUUGCACUUCAACAUUCAACCCAUCAUCAGCAGCUCAGCAGCAGUGUCAGCUUCAUCAGCUUCACCAAUCGGGUAAACAGCCACCUGUUUGAUAGGAGAAUGCACAUGAUUCAUCUCUUCUUCCCCCUUCUUUUUCUCUUUGUCCUCGUGUACAC